This 621-nucleotide ribosomal RNA is filed under the name Isanda coronata. Its description in RNAcentral is "partial 12S ribosomal RNA". Lineage: Eukaryota; Metazoa; Mollusca; Gastropoda; Trochida; Trochidae. The record is from RNAcentral.
GACAAACAGGCCAAGUUAAGAUUAAUUUUGGUAUAAAAGGAGGUUAAGGAGAUAAGAAAUAGUUUGAUUAAAGAGUUAUGUUUUAAUGUAGAGGUGGAAUUUGGACAUUAAUUCGGUACUUUUUUAUUUUCUGAUGCCUCGAAAUUUUUAUAGUCGACCGGGAUUAGAUACCCCGUUAGUAAAAAUGUAAACAUUGGUUGUUUGGGCAGCUUACCUGAGUAUUACGGGCUGGGAUGUGAAUUUCAGUGGCUUAAAACUCAAAAAACUUGGCGGUGCCUUAUUUCCUUCCAGGGGAACCUGUCCUGUAAUCGAUAGUCCACGAUUUAGCUUACUUUUUGUUGUAUUAGUAUGAAGUUACUAACAGUUUGUAUACCGUCGUCGUCAGAUUACCUUUAAGAGAAUUGAAGUUAUCGUGGUAAUGAGAUUGAAUAUGUGUGUUUAAGUAAGUAUAUAUAAAUAAUUAAGAUGUCAGAUCAAGGUGCAGCUUAUAAAAAAGUAGAGAUGGGUUACAAUAUGCGUUUCAUAUACGGAUUUUGGGUUGUAAUGAAAAAUGAAGGUGGACUUGGGAGUAAUGAAGUCAUAUCAGUAGGUAGGUUUAAUGAAAAUGGUGCUAAGGUGCGU